GAUCGCGGGGCGGUCAGGAUCCUUCUAGGACCGCGCCUCGCGGGGCCUGCUCGGCGUUCCGGGUGCACUUUCUCCGGGUGGAGUGCCACGACCGGUUCUGCGUGCAGUCAGAUGCCCGUCGGGAAGGUGACCGUCUCUCGGGACGGAGUUACAGCCCGGCGGUGCGGACUUGCCGCGGGACCGAGGACGCUUGCCGCGUCUCAGGACCCCCGGUCCAGCUCGCUCGCUCGACUGUGGCGAACUGCUUGCAGUGCGUCGCGACCGCUGGCGAGCGUCAGGCCGGGUAAGUCCGAGGCGCCUUGGGUCAGUGGCGAAUCGGUCGGUCCUCCACCCGACCCGUCUUGAAACACGGACCAAGGAGUCUAACAUGUGCGCGAGUCAUGGGGUGCAACGAAACCCAAAGGCGCAAUGAAAGUGAAGGCAGUCUCCGACUGGCCUAGGCAGGAUCCCGCCGUUCGCGGUGGGCGCACUGCCGGCCCGUCUCGACAGCGUCGUCUGCGAGGCGGAGCAAGAGCGUACACGUUGGGACCCGAAAGAUGGUGAACUAUGCCUGAGUAGGGCAAAGUCAGAGGAAACUCUGAUGGAGGUCCGCAGCGAUUCUGACGUGCAAAUCGAUCGUCAGACUUGGGUAUAGGGGCGAAAGACUA
Molecule: ribosomal RNA, 647 nt
Filed under: Lucinidae sp. MN20044
Lineage: Eukaryota; Metazoa; Mollusca; Bivalvia; Lucinida; Lucinidae
Description: eukaryotic LSU rRNA
Rfam family: Eukaryotic large subunit ribosomal RNA (bases 353-647)
Source: RNAcentral